Molecule: unclassified non-coding RNA, 377 nt
Filed under: soil metagenome
Description: partial contains 5.8S ribosomal RNA, internal transcribed spacer 2, and large subunit ribosomal RNA
Rfam family: 5.8S ribosomal RNA (bases 1-120)
Source: RNAcentral
GAUGAAGAACGUAGCGAAAUGCGAUAAGUAAUGUGAAUUGCAGAAUUCAGUGAAUCAUCGAAUCUUUGAACGCACCUUGCACCCUUUGGCAUUCCGAAGGGUAUGCUCGUUGGAGUGUCAUUGUACUCUCACACUUCCGAUCUUUGGAUUGGGAGCGGUGGACUUGGGUGUUGCUGCUUACUGUGGCUCACCUCAAAUCGAUUCGUGCACCUCUUGGUUGGACAUAGUACGGCGUGAUAAGUGUCUUCGCCGGCACCUCAGUAGAGGGUGGCUGAUCGGGAGCUCUGCUUCAAACCGUCCUCGGACAACAACUGACAACUUGACCUCAAAUCGAGUAGGACUACCCGCUGAACUUAAGCAUAUCAAUAAGCGGAGGA